CAUGCAUGUCUCAGUACAAGCCAAAUUAAGGUGAAACCGCGAAAGGCUCAUUAAAUCAGUUAUGGUUCCUUAGAUCGUACACACAUUUACUUGGAUAACUGUGGUAAUUCUAGAGCUAAUACAUGCAAACAGAGUUCCGACCGGAGACGGAAGGAACGCUUUUAUUAGAUCAAAACCAAUCGGUGGCGGGCUUCGGUCCGUCAUCGUACACACUUGAUGAAACUGAAUAACUUUCUGCUGAUCGCACGGUCUCGCACCGGCGACGCAUCUUUCAAAUGUCUGCCUUAUCAACUGUCGAUGGUAGGUUCUGCGCCUACCAUGGUUGUAACGGGUAACGGGGAAUCAGGGUUCGAUUCCGGAGAGGGAGCCUGAGAAACGGCUACCACAUCCAAGGAAGGCAGCAGGCGCGCAAAUUACCCACUCCCGGCACGGGGAGGUAGUGACGAAAAAUAACGAUACGGGACUCAUCCGAGGCCCCGUAAUCGGAAUGAGUACACUCUAAAUCCUUUAACGAGGAUCAAUUGGAGGGCAAGUCUGGUGCCAGCAGCCGCGGUAAUUCCAGCUCCAAUAGCGUAUAUUAAAGUUGUUGCGGUUAAAAAGCUCGUAGUCGAAUCUGUGUCCCGCGCCGCCGGUUCAUCGCUCGCGGUGUCAACUGGCGUGUUCGCGGGACGUCCUGCCGGUGGACUUAGCCCGCGAGGGCGGUCCAACUUAAAAUCCCACCGCGGUGCUCUUCACUGAGUGUCGAGGUGGGCCGGCACGUUUACUUUGAACAAAUUAGAGUGCUUAAAGCAGGCUAAAAUUUCGCCUGAAUACUGUGUGCAUGGAAUAAUGGAAUAGGACCUCGGUUCUAUUUUGUUGGUUUUCGGAACCCCGAGGUAAUGAUUAAUAGGAACGGAUGGGGGCAUUCGUAUUGCGACGUUAGAGGUGAAAUUCUUGGAUCGUCGCAAGACGGACUUAAGCGAAAGCAUUUGCCAAAAACGUUUUCAUUGAUCAAGAACGAAAGUUAGAGGUUCGAAGGCGAUCAGAUACCGCCCUAGUUCUAACCAUAAACGAUGCCAGCUAGCGAUCCGCCGACGUUCCUCCGAUGACUCGGCGGGCAGCUUCCGGGAAACCAAAGCUUUUGGGUUCCGGGGGAAGUAUGGUUGCAAAGCUGAAACUUAAAGGAAUUGACGGAAGGGCACCACCAGGAGUGGAGCCUGCGGCUUAAUUUGACUCAACACGGGAAAACUCACCAGGCCCGGACACCGGAAGGAUUGACAGAUUGAGAGCUCUUUCUUGAUUCGGUGGGUGGUGGUGCAUGGCCGUUCUUAGUUGGUGGAGCGAUUUGUCUGGUUAAUUCCGAUAACGAACGAGACUCUAGCCUGCUAAAUAGGCGUACUAUCGACAUCUCAAAGGCCCGCCGGCCCGGCGCUCGCGUCGUGGUCGUGCGCGGUUUUUACUGUCGGCGUACAAUUAAUUCUUCUUAGAGGGACAGGCGGCUUCUAGCCGCACGAGAUUGAGCAAUAACAGGUCUGUGAUGCCCUUAGAUGUUCUGGGCCGCACGCGCGCUACACUGAAGGAAUCAGCGUGUCUUCCCUGGCCGAGAGGCCCGGGUAACCCGCUGAACCUCCUUCGUGCUAGGGAUUGGGGCUUGCAAUUGUUCCCCAUGAACGAGGAAUUCCCAGUAAGCGCGAGUCAUAAGCUCGCGUUGAUUACGUCCCUGCCCUUUGUACACACCGCCCGUCGCUACUACCGAUUGAAUGAUUUAGUGAGGUCUUCGGAUUGGUACGCGGUGGCGUUUCGACGUCGUCGAUGUUGCCGAGAAGAUGACCAAACUUGAUCAUUUAGAGGAAGUAAAAGUCGUAACAAGGUUUCCGU
RNAcentral lists this ribosomal RNA (1857 nucleotides) under Sphaerites glabratus. RNAcentral describes it as "SSU rRNA". It matches the Rfam family "Eukaryotic small subunit ribosomal RNA". The record is from RNAcentral. Lineage: Eukaryota; Metazoa; Arthropoda; Insecta; Coleoptera; Sphaeritidae.